This 464-nucleotide ribosomal RNA is filed under the name Parvimonas micra. RNAcentral's name for it is "bacterial SSU rRNA". It matches the Rfam family "Bacterial small subunit ribosomal RNA", at positions 9 to 456 of the family's 1533-position model. Lineage: Bacteria; Bacillati; Bacillota; Tissierellia; Tissierellales; Peptoniphilaceae. The record is from RNAcentral.
GAGUUUGAUUAUGGCUCAGGACGAACGCUGGCGGCGUGCUUAACACAUGCAAGUCGAACGUGAUUUUUGUGGAAAGCCCUUCGGGGACGGAAGCGAAAUGAAAGUGGCGAACGGGUGAGUAACACGUGAGCAACCUACCUUACACAGGGGGAUAGCCGUUGGAAACGACGAUUAAUACCGCAUGAGACCACAAAGCCACAUGGCUUAGGGGUAAAAGAUUUAUCGGUGUAAGAUGGGCUCGCGUCUGAUUAGCUAGUUGGAAGGGUAAAGGCCUACCAAGGCAACGAUCAGUAGCCGGUCUGAGAGGAUGAACGGCCACAUUGGAACUGAGACACGGUCCAAACUCCUACGGGAGGCAGCAGUGGGGAAUAUUGCACAAUGGGGGGAACCCUGAUGCAGCGACGCCGCGUGAGCGAAGAAGGUUUUCGAAUCGUAAAGCUCUGUCCUAUGAGAGGAUAAUGACG